GACGAACGCUGGCGGCGUGCUUAACACAUGCAAGUCGAACGGAAAGGCCCUGCUUGCAGGGUACUCGAGUGGCGAACGGGUGAGUAACACGUGGGUGAUCUGCCCUGCACUUCGGGAUAAGCCUGGGAAACUGGGUCUAAUACCGGAUAGGAGCCAUUUUUAGUGUGAUGGUUGGAAAGUUUUUUCGGUGUAGGAUGAGCUCGCGGCCUAUCAGCUUGUUGGUGGGGUAAUGGCCUACAAAGGCGGCGACGGGUAGCCGGCCUGAGAGGGUGGACGGCCACAUUGGGACUGAGAUACGGCCCAGACUCCUACGGGAGGCAGCAGUGGGGAAUAUUGCACAAUGGGCGCAAGCCUGAUGCAGCGACGCCGCGUGGGGGAUGACGGCCUUCGGGUUGUAAACUCCUUUCGCCAGGGACGAAGCUUUUUGUGACGGUACCUAGAGAAGAAGCACCGGCUAACUACGUG
RNAcentral lists this ribosomal RNA (465 nucleotides) under uncultured bacterium. Its description in RNAcentral is "partial 16S ribosomal RNA". It matches the Rfam family "Bacterial small subunit ribosomal RNA", at positions 28 to 507 of the family's 1533-position model. The record is from RNAcentral.